CUACUAUUUUUUGACAAACUUGGCAAUUAUAUUAAUUAUAUUAUUUAUUUUCAUUGUCCAUUUUCAAAUAAUUGUAUUUUUAUAUUGUAAUUUUAAAAAUUGAAUUCUUAAAAUGAAUUUACUAUAUUCAAUUAAAUAAUGCAACAAUAUAUAUAUUUUCUUUUUAAUCAAACAAAAAAUAAUACAAUGAAUCAGAGAAAAAAAAAAGCUGAAGCUUCGUCGGCCUGUGAAGAAUUUGAUGGGCGGCGAAGAAGAAUGUCGUCAGAUCGUGAAGGGCUUGGUCUGCGGAAGGUGAAGAGCUUGGACGGCGGUGGAGUAACACGGUGGUGGAAAUAACACGACCAAGAUGCCAAAUCAGAGGACCGGAGAUAAGAUGGUUGUCGAGAUGUGUUGGUAGUGAAGCACGACGAGUGAUGCAGUGGUGUUUGUGGUGAACGGCAGUUCUCUGUGAAAUCAAAGGAGGCACUAAUUAGUCAUGAAAGAAAAGAAAAAACAAACAGAAAAUAAAGAUCUGAACUUCCAAGAAAAAAUAAACUGAAAAUACAAUUCAAAGUUGGUGAACGCAGAAGCUUUGUGAUGUAGCUUCAAGAUCUGGACAACAAGGUGAGAAAAGGAGAAUCGAUUGGUAGAGAUGAAAAAUAACAGUGAAUGGGAUAGUUGAUAUGUGUUCUUUGUGUCUAAACCUAGAAGAAACGAGACAAGGAGGAGAAGAAGAGAAAAGGAAAAAAGAGAAAGGGGAGAUUUAGGCCAUUGGAUCUAAUUAAUCAAUGGUGGAUGUUAAACCAAACGGCAAUCCUUGACUUUAUGUAUUAGCCAAUCAAAAGAUUUCCUCUUUUAAAGUAAACAAAAUUCAUAUAUUAUUUUAUAAACAUUAUUGUAAACUUAUUUUAACUAAGAAAAAUGGAAAUAAUCCAAGAAUCACUAUAAAUAAG
RNAcentral lists this long non-coding RNA (932 nucleotides) under Capsella grandiflora. RNAcentral describes it as "long non-coding RNA (CGRA_LNC001348)". The record is from RNAcentral. Lineage: Eukaryota; Viridiplantae; Streptophyta; Magnoliopsida; Brassicales; Brassicaceae.